Long non-coding RNA from Salvia splendens (bonfire salvia), 640 nucleotides. RefSeq lists it as uncharacterized. The transcript is spliced from 2 exons. The record is from RefSeq and is a predicted model, not a curated record. NCBI's taxonomy places the organism in Eukaryota, Viridiplantae, Streptophyta, Magnoliopsida, Lamiales, Lamiaceae.
GGCCAACAUUCUUCUCACUACUAUUGUUAUCUCUCAACUUUCAUUUGUUUAUAGUUGAUUUGAUCCCAUCACAUACGAGGCUCAAUCCAAGACAUUGUGAAUAGAGGGUGUUACAAGUACGGUAUACCUACAACCUUACCGGCAUACUUGUCCAUUGUCCGCUUGCAAGAAUCGUCUCUAAACUUGAUGAAAUGAGCAUGUUGUACGAGCCUGCUUGGUGCUCAACCCCGGCUGUCUCCAUCGUCCCGGCUGUCUCCACCAUCCACCAUCGAAGGGUGUGGAAGAUACCAUACAUUUCACAUUGUAAAUAACUGGGUAAUACAUGUGUAACAAGCUCUUAAAUCUAUCCAAUGAAUCGGAAAGGUAACAGCCAAUCCCGAUCUUGAUUAGAAAGACAAAAUCGUAGCCACCGUGGAAUGAAAUUAGGGGUGGGGGAAAAAGCCAAAGAAAUGGUAUACUGAUUGUAUUGUACCGAAAAUAAUAAAAAAGUAUCGAAUUUUUGGUAUACCGUAAUUUUUGGUGCGGUACGAUACAAUACCGUAAGUUUUUGGUACGAUAACUGUAUGAAUUUUCUUAUACCUCUGUAUACAGUGGAAUACGGAAUAUACGUUAUAUACAAAAAUAUCGGUAUAUCGUGGUA